Long non-coding RNA from Epinephelus fuscoguttatus (brown-marbled grouper), 535 nucleotides. RefSeq lists it as uncharacterized. The transcript is spliced from 3 exons. The record is from RefSeq and is a predicted model, not a curated record. Lineage: Eukaryota; Metazoa; Chordata; Actinopteri; Perciformes; Serranidae.
CGCUGCUGGAGUCUGACUGGGGACAGGUUUAUGAGGACACCUCCAGGUUUAUAGAGACAUCCAGUCUGACUAGACACAGGUCUAUGAGGACACCUCCAGGUUUAUAGAGACAUCCACAGGUCUAUGAGGACACCUCCAGGUUUAUAGAGACAUCCAGUCUGACUAGACACAGGUCUAUGAGGACACCUCCAGGUUUAUAAAGACAUCCAGUCUGACUAGACACAGGUCUAUGAGGACACCUCCAGGUUUAUAGAGACAUCCACAGGUCUAUGAGACACCUCCAGGUUUAUAGAGACAUCCACAGGUCUAUGAGGACACCUCCAGGUUUAUAGAGACAUCCACAGGUCUAUGAGGACACCUCCAGGUUUAUAGAGACAUCCAGUCUGACUAGACACAGGUCUAUGAGACACCUCCAGGUUUAUAAAGACAUCCAGUCUGACUAGACACAGGUCUAUGAGGACACCUCCAGGUUUAUAGAGACAUCCACAGGUCUAUGAGGACACCUCCAGGUUUAUAAAGACAUCCACAGGUCUAU